RNAcentral lists this ribosomal RNA (450 nucleotides) under uncultured bacterium. RNAcentral's name for it is "partial 16S ribosomal RNA". It matches the Rfam family "Bacterial small subunit ribosomal RNA", at positions 354 to 796 of the family's 1533-position model. The record is from RNAcentral.
GUGGGGAAUAUUCCGCAAUGGACGAAAGUCUGACGGAGCAACGCCGCGUGAGUGAUGAAGGUUUUCGGACUGUAAAGCUCUGUUGUUUAGGACGAAAGUGCCUGUUGCAAAUAGUUACAGGUAUUGACGGUACUGAACGAGGAAGCCACGGCUAACUACGUGCCAGCAGCCGCGGUAAUACGUAGGUGGCAAGCGUUGUCCGGAAUUAUUGGGCGUAAAGAGCAUGUAGGCGGGAAUCUAAGUCUGUUGUGAAAAUGCGGGGCUCAACCCCGUAUUGCGAUGGAAACUGGGUUUCUUGAGUGCAGGAGAGGAAAGGGGAAUUCCCAGUGUAGCGGUGAAAUGCGUAGAUAUUGGGAGGAACACCAGUGGCGAAGGCGCCUUUCUGGACUGUGUCUGACGCUGAGAUGCGAAAGCCAGGGUAGCGAACGGGAUUAGAUACCCGUGUAGUCC